RNAcentral lists this ribosomal RNA (597 nucleotides) under Triticum aestivum (bread wheat). RNAcentral's name for it is "partial small subunit ribosomal RNA". The record is from RNAcentral. Lineage: Eukaryota; Viridiplantae; Streptophyta; Magnoliopsida; Poales; Poaceae.
AUGUGCGUUGAGUUUCGGCGCGCUAGAUACGAAGAACAUGUCGUUGAUGGGCCUUUGCCGAAGGAUUGGCAUGGUUUCUCGGUUUAUGUCAGUGCGGAGGUGAUCGGGGUAGACUGCAACAGACGGAAAAAACGGAAAGUGUCAAUUAAAUUGCGGCGUCCUGGAUGCGAAGAGAUUGUUGUUCAAGGGCCUUUGCCAAAGGAUUGGCAAGGUUUCUCAGUGAAGUUUGCCGAGUCCCUUAAAGCUUGCUAUGCAGAUAGGUCGUACUACGGCCCUCCGGAUUUCUUGUGCCAAUACUGUGGUGCCUCCUUUUGGUUUGCUGAGUGUUCAAAGUCCAGGUCAUCCUGGACACAACGUAAGAUGGUUUAUAAUCGCUGUUGUAAAGGCGCUAAGGUAUAUAUUCCUCCCUUUAAGGAUCCCCCGGCCUAUCUCCAGGAGCUCCUUCGAUUUGAUGGUACUUCUCGUGCUAAAAAAUUCAUCCGGACUAUACGUGAGUACAACUGUAUGUUCGCUUUCACUUCGAUGGGUGCUACUAUUGAACGCUCGUUUGGUGGCAGCCGUGGACCUAAGAUUUUUAAGAUCAGUGGGCAAGUAUGA